ACAGCAGUAGCCGCGGUAACACGGAGGGAGCUAGCGUUGUUCGGAAUUACUGGGCGUAAAGCGCGCGUAGGCGGUUACUCAAGUCAGAGGUGAAAGCCCGGGGCUCAACCCCGGAACUGCCUUUGAAACUAGGUGACUAGAAUCUUGGAGAGGUCAGUGGAAUUCCGAGUGUAGAGGUGAAAUUCGUAGAUAUUCGGAAGAACACCAGUGGCGAAGGCGACUGACUGGACAAGUAUUGACGCUGAGGUGCGAAAGCGUGGGGAGCAAACAGGAUUAGAUACCCGCGUAGUCCCUGUCUCUUAUAC
Molecule: ribosomal RNA, 305 nt
Filed under: uncultured bacterium
Lineage: Bacteria
Description: partial 16S ribosomal RNA
Rfam family: Bacterial small subunit ribosomal RNA
Source: RNAcentral